RNAcentral lists this transfer RNA (56 nucleotides) under Youtuus erythrus. RNAcentral's name for it is "tRNA-Val". The record is from RNAcentral. Lineage: Eukaryota; Metazoa; Arthropoda; Insecta; Hemiptera; Caliscelidae.
CAGAAAUUUUUUUUUAUUUACAAUAAAUAUUUAGUUAUUAAUAGUAACUUUUCUGA